CCAAUAGCGUAUAUUAAAGUUGCUGCAGUUAAAGAGCUCGUAGUUGAAUUUCGGGACUAAUAUGUCGGUCGUGCCUCGGUACGUACUGGUAUUUUUGGUUUCUCCCUUCUGACGAACCUUGAUGUCAUUAAUUUGGUGUCUUGGGAAAUCAGGACUGUUACUUUGAAAAAAUUAGAGUGUUUAAAGCAGGCUCACGCUUGUAUACAUUAGCAUGGAAUAAUGAAAUAGGACGUUUGAUUCUAGUUUGUUGGUUUCUAGGAUCGACGUAAUGAUUAAGAGGGAUAGUUGGGGGCAUUAGUAUUCAAUUGUCAGAGGUGAAAUUCUUGGAUUUAUUGAAGACUAACUACUGCGAAAGCAUUUGCCAAGGAUGUUUUCAUUAAUCAAGAACGAAAGUUAGGGGAUCGAAGACGAUCAGAUACCGUCGUAGUCUUAACCAUAAACUAUGCCGACUAGGGAUCGGAUGAUGUUAAUUUUUUAAUGACUCAUUCGGCGCCUUACG
This 499-nucleotide ribosomal RNA is filed under the name uncultured Glomeromycotina. RNAcentral's name for it is "partial small subunit ribosomal RNA". It matches the Rfam family "Eukaryotic small subunit ribosomal RNA", at positions 591 to 1092 of the family's 1831-position model. Lineage: Eukaryota; Fungi; Glomeromycota. The record is from RNAcentral.